This is a small nuclear RNA of Phodopus roborovskii (desert hamster), 103 nucleotides long. The record is from RefSeq and is a predicted model, not a curated record. NCBI's taxonomy places the organism in Eukaryota, Metazoa, Chordata, Mammalia, Rodentia, Cricetidae.
GUGCUCACUUUGACAGCAUAUAUACUAAAACUGGAAUAAUACAGAGACGAUAAGCCUGGUCUGUUACCCAAGGAUGACAUGCAAAUUCAUGUUUCAUAGUUUU